Molecule: non-coding RNA, 535 nt
Organism: Danio rerio (zebrafish)
Lineage: Eukaryota; Metazoa; Chordata; Actinopteri; Cypriniformes; Danionidae
Source: Ensembl
AAAUACCUGCUUAAUUAUUUCAUAGUAGGAGCAAACAUGCCUUAAUAAAAGGAGCACAUUUAAAACUUUAGUAACCAUAAAAAGUACACCAAGUGGAUGCCUUUCUACUCCAGGAAGCCGCAGCAUACGGCCUGAAGGAGGAAGGACGCGGUCAGUUUGAAAUCUGGGCCAGUUCUGCAGAUGAUCAGACGGAGUUCGCCAUCAUCACAUCCCUCAUUGCUGCAGUCAGACUGAAACAGGACGGUGAUGCAUGGCAGUCAAUGCCCGAGAUACGGAUGAUGAAGAGACCACAGCAACAUCUGGUCCAGAUGAGGACACAAGGGCAGGUGGACUGAUGCAGGGUCUCGUUUAAUUCACUACAGGAGAACAGGAGUGGCCAAACUCAGUCCAGAACUGCUGCUGUCUUGCAGAGUUUAGUUGAAGUUGACUCUAAACUUCACCAGCCAUCCAGAACUAAGUUUGGGCACCCCUGCAUUACAGCAUUUCCAGGAUGCUGCUGUGGACUUCUUUACACUCACCACAUACACCAAUCUGC